UACGGAGGGUGCAAGCGUUAUCCGGAUUCACUGGGUUUAAAGGGUGCGUAGGCGGGCAGGUAAGUCAGUGGUGAAAUCUCCGAGCUUAACUUGGAAACUGCCGUUGAUACUAUCUGUCUUGAAUAUUGUGGAGGUGAGCGGAAUAUGUCAUGUAGCGGUGAAAUGCUUAGAUAUGACAUAGAACACCAAUUGCGAAGGCAGCUCGCUACACAUAUAUUGACUCUGAGGCACGAAAGCGUGGGGAUCAAACAGG
RNAcentral lists this ribosomal RNA (253 nucleotides) under uncultured bacterium. RNAcentral describes it as "partial 16S ribosomal RNA". It matches the Rfam family "Bacterial small subunit ribosomal RNA", at positions 524 to 776 of the family's 1533-position model. The record is from RNAcentral.